Long non-coding RNA from Mesocricetus auratus (golden hamster), 495 nucleotides. RefSeq lists it as uncharacterized. NCBI's taxonomy places the organism in Eukaryota, Metazoa, Chordata, Mammalia, Rodentia, Cricetidae. The record is from RefSeq and is a predicted model, not a curated record. The transcript is spliced from 2 exons.
GAUGGUGGUUGCUUGGCUCGGAGGAUAGCCACUCACGAUGGCCAUACAAUGCCACACGGUUAAAUCCUCUGCAGAGGGAGAGCUGUUUGUCCCCAGCUGCCCAUGGCCAAAGAGCUGAGGAGAAAAGCAGCCUGAAAAGAUGCCAUAAAGUGAACAGACCUUUCAAAUGGCCAAAUACAGACCUUGUUCAAGAAGACAAAGAAUGGUCCUCCCGAAUGACCCUGCCUACUGCAACUGUUCUGGAAUGUUCUGAUGGAUCUUCUAGUUCCCAACAGUAAUACUGGAGUCAGACCCAUUCCUGAAACAACAUUGCUAUUUCUUAGAUAUCUUUCCCAUCUGGUGAUACCAUAGCUUGGAGCAUGGACUGAUUUUCCACCCUUCUUCAUUGGAGAGUCUGUCUUUGUGUGUAGCCAGCAGGGAACAUGGCUGGUGUAGGAGGGAGUUUCUGUUGUAACUGUCUAUUUUUAGUGGCUCAUAAACUCAGUAUUCCUUGGC